UGAAUUUUGAAGGGCCGCGGUAUUUCUGACCGUGCGAAGGUAGCAUAAUCAUUAGUCUUUUAAUUUGAGGCUCGUAUGAAGGGUCGGACGAGGGAUAAACUGUUUCAAGUAAAGAAUUCGAACUUAACUUUUAAGUGAAAAGGCUUAAAUAUUUCAAAAAGACGAUAAGACCCUAUAAAUCUUAACACUAAUUACCAUGGUAUCCUAGAUUAUUAGUUUAAAGAAAACAAUGGAUAAAGUGUUAUGUUGGGGCAACAAAGAUAUAAAAAGCUUAACUGUUUUAACAAACUAACAAUUAUCAUUGAUAUCCUAUUAGAUCCUUCCUACAGAUUUAAAGAUUAAGUUACUUUAGGGAUAACAGCGUUAUUCUUUUUAAGAGUCCCCAUCGAAAAAAGAGUUUGCGACCUCGAUGUUGAAUUAGAAGAUCA
This 428-nucleotide ribosomal RNA is filed under the name Calcinus laurentae. RNAcentral's name for it is "partial 16S ribosomal RNA". It matches the Rfam family "Bacterial large subunit ribosomal RNA", at positions 1913 to 2547 of the family's 2925-position model. The record is from RNAcentral. Lineage: Eukaryota; Metazoa; Arthropoda; Malacostraca; Decapoda; Diogenidae.